CACGAAGUUAGCCGGGGCUUCUUCUACGGGUACCGUCAUUAUCGUCCCCGUCGAAAGAGCUUUACAACCCUAAGGCCUUCAUCACUCACGCGGCAUGGCUGGAUCAGGCUUGCGCCCAUUGUCCAAUAUUCCCCACUGCUGCCUCCCGUAGGAGUCUGGGCCGUGUCUCAGUCCCAGUGUGGCGGAUCAUCCUCUCAGACCAGCUACUGAUCGUCGCCUUGGUGGGCCAUUACCCCACCAACUAGCUAAUCAGACGCGGGCCGAUCCUUCGGCAGUAAACCUUUCCCCAAAAGGGCGUAUCCGGUAUUAGCUCAAGUUUCCCUGAGUUAUUCCGAACCGAAGGGCACGUUCCCACGUGUUACUCACCCGUCUGCCGCUGACCCCGAAGGGCCCGCUCGACUUGCAUGUGUUAAGCCUGCCGCCAGCGUUCGCUCUCGAGCCACGGAGUCAAACUACU
Molecule: ribosomal RNA, 457 nt
Filed under: uncultured Methylobacterium sp.
Lineage: Bacteria; Pseudomonadati; Pseudomonadota; Alphaproteobacteria; Hyphomicrobiales; Methylobacteriaceae
Description: partial 16S ribosomal RNA
Source: RNAcentral